AACAUGCUCGCGCACAGAUUGAAAUGAACAGAAAGAGACGAGGAAGAGUGCGAAUGAUUUAUUCAUCAAUGCUCUGGUAUGUUCAGAGCUUUGCAACAAAUGAAAAAGAGCACAAAUGGAACAUUUCUGAAUAAUAU
This is a non-coding RNA of Caenorhabditis elegans, 137 nucleotides long. NCBI's taxonomy places the organism in Eukaryota, Metazoa, Nematoda, Chromadorea, Rhabditida, Rhabditidae. The record is from Ensembl.